Non-coding RNA from Castor canadensis (American beaver), 5312 nucleotides. Lineage: Eukaryota; Metazoa; Chordata; Mammalia; Rodentia; Castoridae. The record is from RefSeq and is a predicted model, not a curated record.
AGCACCUCAUGAGCCAUUUGCCUGGGCUGGCUUUGAACCAUGAAGGCUUGAGCCACCAGUGCCCAGCUGCUUUUCUCUUUUGAUGCAGAAAUGUAUUUGAUAAACUUAAAUAUGUAUUAAUUGGAAAAGUAAGAACAGAAGAAAAUCUAAUACGGGAUGUCCAUUCCAAUGCUAUAGUUAACAAUGAAAUAUCAGAAGCAUUUUUUUAAAGUCAGCAGGAUAUGAAUGUUCACUGCCACUACUUCCACUCAACCAUAUUUUAGGGGGAUGGUUCUAGAAUGCUUCCAAGCUUGAUGGGGAAUUUAAAUUUUUAAAAAUUUUCUAGUAGCCAUUUUAAAUAUGUUCAUAUCAUAAUAGAAUGAAAAUAGAACUUUUGUGAUAUGACAAUUAAAAUCAAGUGUAGUCCUACUCUAAAAUUGUGUUUAAUGGGGCAAUUUUUUAUACAGCUUCAGUGUUUAGGUUGUAAAUUAAUUAAGCAUUCAUUUCCUCAGUAGCAUUAACUGCAUUUCAAGAGCUCAGUGGUCACAUGUGGCUCACGGCUGCCGUUAUAUUCUGCUCAUCACCAGCACACCAAGGUGAUGAAAUAACUAAAAGUGUAAAGUACUAUAAAGAAGCCUCAGUGUCACCAUGCACACAUGAUAGGAUAGUUUACAUGGAAAUCCACCUAAAUUAACAGUUAUUUAAACUUUUAGAAGAUUAUAGUUAGGUAGCCAGGACAGGGAUCCAUAUAUAAAACUCUUUCUCAGUUCUACCUGUUGUGCUGGUGGAGUGGCUCAAGUGGUAGAGAGCUUGCCCAGCAAGCAUGAGGCCCUGAGUUCAAGCCCCAUACCACAUAAAAAGAGAGAGAGGGAGAGAAUCAAUUCUACCUAUUAACUAGCAAUAAACAGUUACCUUCUUUGAUAACCAACCUGAAAGAUCUAUCCACACAUUUAUGAGAAAUCACAUUUCCAAUUCUGACAAUUACUUGUUUCUCGUGGAGUGUACUUAUCUUAUUGAAAAGGAAUUUUUAUAUCAUGGAUCCUAACCCACAAUUAGCAAUAUGUCUUUUAAGGGCCUCCCUCUACAUUUCUAAUUUUCAGAGUUUGAAGGACACAUAAUCUUUAAAAAAAAAAAGUAAUGUUUGUUAGUCUUUUAAGGUUAGCCAAAGAAAUGAAUCUUUUAAGAAAUCCUCUCACAAUAUCAUUUAAAAAAUUGCUCGUUGGUUUUCUUGAAAAGCUUACCUUUCACAAUCAAGGCUUUAAUCCAUCAGGAUUUGAUUUUUGUAUAUGGAGUGAGGAAGGGAUUCAACUUCAUAUCUCUGCAAGUCAACCAGUUGUCCUAUUACAUUUCAUAGCAUUCUUUCCUAGUGAUUACGAUGCCACAUCUGUCCAUUUUCCAUAUGGUGGGGGGUGUUCCUCCAGGCUCUCUAUUCUGUUUAAUUGGCCAUGUGUCUACCUCUGCAUCCAGCAUACUUCAUACAACACAUACAUACAGCUGCACCGUAUUCAUAACUGUUAGAGCAAGAUUCCCUGUCAUCUUCUCCAUUCUCAGAUGUCCACUGGCCUCUCUUAGACUUUUCUUUUUCCAUUUAUAUUUCAGAGUUGAGAUUUUGAUGACUGUGGCAUUGAAUCUGCUCAUCAGUUUGAGGAAAACUGAAGUACUUGUAAUAGUGGAGGUUCUUAUCCAGGAGUGGACAUUUAUUUCUAUUUAUUUAGGUCUUCUGUGUCUUCAAGUAUUUGCAUUUGAGCCUUGAACGUCUUUUGUUAACAUCUUAGAUUGGUGCCUAUUGUUUUGUUUCUGGUAUAAACUUUUACUUAUUAUCAAGACAGAGAUGGGUGCCUCCUAGGUGUCAAAGGCAAAACUGGAGCCAUCUAUCCAGACACUGUGCCUGCUUUGUGACUUCCUACACCACCUCACGUUUUUUCAUUUGUACAUCUAAAUAAACCUGGGAUCUAUUAACUCCUGCCAUUUGCUCCCCUCCCAACCCCCACCCCCGCCAACUCCAAUUUACUCUGCAAGCAAGGACUGCUAUGAUUUCUAAAUGCACCUGAGACAGGUCCAUGUUUCCCUCCAAACUUGCCAGAGGUUGCUCUUUCAACUCCAGGAGUCCAAGCUUGUUCCCUGCAUGUCAUUAACAUCACAGGCUUCCUAUCCAGCUGUUGCCUUGUAUUUUAUUAACUUAUUCAUAAAAACCUAAAAACUGUACAUAAUAAUGGAGUACUAUGUGAUGUUUUGCCACAUGUAUACCUUGUGGACUGUUUAAAUUAUAUUUAUCACCUCAAACACUUGUCAUUUCUUCUUUUUUUGGUAGUACUGGGGUUUGAACUCAGAGGUGCUCUACCACUUGAGACACUCCACCAAGCCUUGUUUGUGUUGGAAAUUUUUACCUGGGGAAAUAUUUGCCUGGGGCUGGCUUCAAACCACCACCCUCCUGAUUUCUGCCUCUUGAGUAACUAGGAUUACAGGCGUAAGCCACCAGCACCUGCCUCUGAUGUCCUAGUGGUUGCUGCCUGUGUUGCCUGUGGAGGGAGCCGCCUGCAUAGGGCUGCAGCCAGGGUCCUUCUCCACACCCAUCCACCAGCUCCCUGUCCUGCACAUGUAGGACCUGCACGUGAUCUGCCCUGGAGGAUUCUACCUCUGUCCCAGUCUUGAUCCUUUGAAGAGAUGCUGGCUAAAGCCACAUGAUGGACAGCUUUUCUUGGGGAAUUCCUGACUAUGGACUGUACCAGAAUCUGCUCAGUCGCCUUUUCUAGAUUCACAGGACUCUGUUUGCACCUUAAAGAGAAACCAAGUGUGGUCCCUCAAACCCUGCUGAUCAGCCUGGGUGAGGUGUUAUCCCCAUUACUGUCCAGUGAGUCAGACAACUCACCCCAUGUUUGGAUGCCAGUCAGAUGGAGGGGAACACAACAGGACUGUGAAGGAGAUGAACCUGAGUUUGAGUCCCAAUCUACUCCUGGCUUUGCAGUCUCAUGGAGGGGUAAUAAGCGUGGCACCCUGAGUCUCUGGCCCCUGUGUCAGGUGGGACCCCCAUAUCCCCCUCUCUGAAGGAUAGGCCCUGAGUGAGUAAGGCUCCUCACAGACCAUGUGGUCCUGUCCUCACCCCAAGAAUGGGGCCUGAGGUUUCUGAGUUACCAGGCAAAUCCCUGGAAGCAAUGACCCUGAGUUUGGAUCCCAUAUAGCGAACAGAAACACAGAGUCCAGGUGGCUCAGGGUUCUCCCUAGCCGUCACAGGUCCCAUGUUCCUUCCAUCCUGCUGUGCUCGGGGAUGGGCUCACAGCCUGUGGGGGCAGGAGGCGUGGGGAGGGCAGGAGACUCUGAGUAAAUAAUGCAGAGCAAGCCGUGCUGAUUGGCUUCGGAGGCGGAUACUUUGUCUACAUAAAUGGCAAUCGCAUCCUCUGUGCCUUUUAACUGUCACCAAGGAGAGGAGGAAGAGCGGUCAGAGAGGAGGCGACUCCCGGCUGCUUGUGAGUACUGCUCUUUGUCUAUACAGCUCAGGGCUGACCCUUGUGCCCAGCUCUUAGAUGUCCACGUCCCUGGGGCUAGAAUGGAAGUUUGCAGUGGUUCUGGCUGUGUCAAUUCCCUGUCCAUCAGGGAGAAGGGGACACUGCUGGCUGCAAUGACUGAGCACCCAGUGUACACAGGUGGCAGGGCUGCUUUGAGAACUUUCUGGGGAAUUAGGUGACAGUGUAGAUCAGCCUCAUUUUUUUUUAGUCAUCUCUAAGUGACAAAUCCAGCAAAGUGCUGGGAUCUUCUGAUAACUUUUUAGCCCUUAUUCUGACUUACUUUGGCAACAUGACCAAGUGAGGGGAUCACUGGACUCCAGGACAUGUGGGGCCCUUGAAGGCAGUGGGAUAGGUGGUAGAAGGAGAAGGCUGUGGGGUCCCCAGUCCUGGAUGUGCUCUAUAGGUAGAAGAGAGCCAACAGCAUUUUCCUACAAAGUUGCAGGAAAAGCCAGGCCCGAUCUUAUCAAGGCCAGGGCACACAGUAGGUACUAGCAAUUGGCAGCUCUGUGAUGGAUGAGCAGGUGCUCUUUGGGGAUAUUAAAGAUGCCAGAGAGAAACAGACUCUGUGUUUGGGGCCACCCAAGCUCCAACUGGCAGCCUGCAGCAUUCCUAGGCCAAAACCAGCAGGCACCCCAGUGCAAAGAGGGUGUAGUACGUGGUAGAGUGUCUGAAUAUUUUUGAAGGAGACAAAAUCAUGUCAUCUGCUGUGGUCUCCUCUCUUUUUUUCUGGGCACACAGUGGGUGGACCACUGCACACAGCUGGUACCAAUAAAAUAAUGAAAAUCAAACCUCCUUUCAAACGUCCAGACUGCCAAAGAAAUGGCUGUGGCUAUAAUUAGCAUUUAUUUGAGCUGUUCAUUAUUCUGACGUUUUUGAGCCUGGGCCCCUCAGAAACUCAACUUGCGGCAAGUUUGGGGAAAUACUACAGGGAAAUUAGGCUGGUGGAUAUUUUAAAUGAGAGGCCCUGGUGUUUUUCUUGGUAUUCGUAGCAUUUUUGAAAGAAGAUACUCGUGGGACAUUAAUGCACCGCACAGGCCUAUGGAACAGUGAUUGGCACAUGGGCUCAAAGGAAUGGUUAAAACUCCACUGUGUUCUGAGGGUCCUCAGGCCAGAGGGAAACAGGUUCAUAUUCCAGUCUAGACAGAUCCAUGUGCAUAAACCACUUUUGAGCUGCAUAGACUUGGAAAAACCACUUGCUCCCCUGCAUCUAUGUCCUUAUUUCCAAAAAGGGGUAACUAUGUGCUCUACGGAGUCAAUGCAUAGAGAACAGACAGGGGCUUCCACCACGCCCUGUGUACAGAGACUAUUGGUCACAUUUUAUUGUGGAAGAGGGAGGGACAGGCACUCCUCUCAGGCCACAGAGGGAAGCAGAGAUGUUCAGCCUGUCUGUUUCCAUGGGGAUCUGCUCAGGCAGGUGGUGGCAGACGUGGGGGCUCAGUCCUCUUCCCUGAAGCCAUGGUUUCCUGUGUGUGAAUGGUCAGAAUCCUUGGAACUGCACUUGGUCUUGCAGACACAGCUUCCCCCAUUAUAGGUGGGGGCCCCUGUUAGGGACUGGGGUAUGUCUGUGGCUCUCAGGCUAUUGUGACAGUGCUGGAUGCCCAGGACAAAAGUGUAAGGGGCGGAGAGGAUGGCACCCACUUGUGCACUUGCUGGUUGUGUGACCUUGGUAUAACAGCAAUAAUAAUAUCUGGCAGGGGUUUUAAGAGUGUUGAAUGAAGCCCAGUGCUGGAGGCUUAUGCCUAUAAUCUUAGCUACUCAGGAGGCAGAGAUCAGGAGGAUCAUGGUUGGAAGCCAGCCCUGGUAAAUAAGUUCACGAAACCUUAUCUCAAA